This 789-nucleotide long non-coding RNA is filed under the name Equus asinus (donkey). RNAcentral describes it as "lncRNA (ENSEASG00005026803.1)". The record is from RNAcentral. Lineage: Eukaryota; Metazoa; Chordata; Mammalia; Perissodactyla; Equidae.
AUCCGAAGUUGCUGCACUUUCCCUUAAGGUUUUCCUUUAGCAUGCUCAUUCCUCUUAAAUGGCUCCUUUUCUGAAAAAUGCUUAUUAAUUAAUCACUCAGGCUGUUUCAUCUGUUUGCUGGAGGGAGUCUGACUGCUAUACCCUCUCAUCCAUCAGGUCUUAUCUUAAAUAUAACUUGCUCGCUGAGUCCUUUUCCAAGCAGUCUGUUGGCACCAUUUUUUUUUUUCUAUUGUAGUGUUUCACUAAUUUUUGUCACAACACUCAUUCAAGAUGAAUCCAAGCCUGUUCUUGGACCAGCCAAAAUUAUGGGCACCAAAUAACUACAGGAUUACUAAAAUCACUGUUACUGUCCCAGAUGCUCCUUCAGAGCCGCAAGAAUAGGCAUUAAUUCUGCUGAAAUUUAAGCCAGUAUGCAUGUCUGAUACCAGGAAAAAUCAUGUUGAACAUACUGGGAAUUAGAUGUGUGUGGAAAUCCAAUAACUUCCUAUUUUUGCACAAGUCUUCUUAUAAACUUUAAAAAACAAGUUUACAUCUAUUGAAUCAUUUGAGCAUAAAGACCUAAUGAGUUCAGAUGGAGAAGACUUGAAGUGACAUCCUUGGUCAGAGAUUGAAAUUCUGAAGUCCUGCAUUUAAAUCCCCAGAGAUGCUUAUCCUACUGGACAAGGAAAUAAAAGACAACCCAUUGCCAUCCUCUCAAACAGCAAAAGAUGGAAUCCCCCUGCUUGCACUUCAAGGAGACCUUCUCUGUUCUUUUUGUAUUUGCUUAUAUAUGGUGACUUAACAUGCAAA